RNAcentral lists this ribosomal RNA (207 nucleotides) under uncultured bacterium. Its description in RNAcentral is "partial 16S ribosomal RNA". It matches the Rfam family "Bacterial small subunit ribosomal RNA", at positions 568 to 774 of the family's 1533-position model. The record is from RNAcentral.
CGCGUAGGUGGCUUGAUAAGUCGGUGGUGAAAUCCCAUGGCUCAACCAUGGAACUGCCGUCGAUACUGUCAGGCUUGAGGGCGGUAGGGGAGAGUGGAACUCCUGGUGUAGCGGUGAAAUGCGUAGAUAUCAGGAGGAACGCCGGUGGCGAAAGCGACUCUCUGGGCCGUUCCCGACACUAAAGUGCGAAAGCUAGGGGAGCAAACA